RNAcentral lists this ribosomal RNA (339 nucleotides) under uncultured Pseudomonadota bacterium. RNAcentral's name for it is "bacterial SSU rRNA". It matches the Rfam family "Bacterial small subunit ribosomal RNA", at positions 29 to 351 of the family's 1533-position model. The record is from RNAcentral. Lineage: Bacteria; Pseudomonadati; Pseudomonadota.
AACAAACGCUGGCGGCGUGCCUAACACAUGCAAGUCGUACGAGAAAGUCCGCUUCGGUGGGUAAGUAAAGUGGCGCACGGGUGAGUAACGCGUGGAUAAUCUACCCUUUAGUCGGGAAUAACUUAUCGAAAGGUGAACUAAUACCGGAUGAAACUGCACAACUACUGUUGUGUAGUCAAAGAAGGCCUCUGCUUGCAAGCUUUCGCUAAAGGAUGAGUCCGCGUACCAUUAGCUAGUUGGUAGGGUAAUAGCCUACCAAGGUUAUGAUGGUUAGCUGGUCUGAGAGGAUGAUCAGCCACACUGGAACUGAAACACGGUCCAGACACCUACGGGUGCAGG